Molecule: ribosomal RNA, 760 nt
Filed under: uncultured bacterium
Lineage: Bacteria
Description: bacterial SSU rRNA
Rfam family: Bacterial small subunit ribosomal RNA
Source: RNAcentral
AGAGUUUGAUCAUGGCUCAGGACGAACGCUGGCGGCGUGCUUAACACAUGCAAGUCGAACGAGGCAGCAAUGCCGAGUGGCGGACGGGUGAGUAACACGUAGGUAACCUGCCCUGCAGUGGGGGAUACCCAGUCGAAAGACUGGCUAAUACCGCAUUCGCUCGUUAGUUGAAAUACUAACGAGGAAAGAUUUAUCGCUGUAGGAGGGGCCUGGGUCCGAUUAGCUAGUUGGUGAGGUAAUGGCUCACCAAGGCGACGAUCGGUAGCUGGUCUGAGAGGACGAUCAGCCACACUGGAACUGAGACACGGUCCAGACUCCUACGGGAGGCAGCAGUGGGGAAUUUUCCGCAAUGGGCGAAAGCCUGACGGAGCAACGCCGCGUGGAUGAUGAAGCCUUUCGGGGCGUAAAAUCCUUUCAGCAGGGACGAACAAAAUGACGGUACCUGCAGAAGAAGCAUCGGCUAACUACGUGCCAGCAGCCGCGGUAAUACGUAGGAUGCGAGCGUUGUCCGGAAUUAUUGGGCGUAAAGAGAACGUAGGUGGUUUCUUAAGUUUGGGCUUAAAGACUGGGGCUUAACCCCAGGACUGGCUCGAAAACUGGGAGACUAGAGGAUGUCAGAGGAAAGUGGAAUUCCGAGUGUAGCGGUGAAAUGCGUAGAUAUUCGGAGGAACACCAGUGGCGAAAGCGACUUUCUGGGACAUUCCUGACACUGAGGUUCGAAAGCUCGGGGAGCAAACAGGAUUAGAUACCCUAGUAGUCC